UCCCUCGGUGUGUCCGUGCAGCGUGGCAA
This 29-nucleotide small RNA is filed under the name Bombyx mori (domestic silkworm). RNAcentral's name for it is "ovarian small RNA-27397". The record is from RNAcentral. Lineage: Eukaryota; Metazoa; Arthropoda; Insecta; Lepidoptera; Bombycidae.